AUACGUAGGUGACAAGCGUUAUCCGGAUUUACUGGGCGUAAAGGGCGUGUAGGCGGUCUUGCAAGUCAGAAGUGAAAUUCCUGAGCUCAACUCGGGCGCUGCUUCUGAAACUGCAGGACUUGAGUGCUGGAGGGGAUAGCGGAAUUCCUAGUGGAGCGGUAAAAUGCGCAGAUAUUAGGAAGAACACCGGUGGCGGAGGCGGGUAUCUGGACAGCAACUGAAGCUGAGGCGCGAAAGCGGGGGGAGGAAACGGGAUUAGAUACCCUGGUAGUCCACGCCGUAAACGAUGAAUUCUAGGUGUAGGGGGUAUCGACUCCCUCUGUGCCGCAGGUAACACAAUAAGUAUUCCGCCUGGGGAGUACGGUCGCAAGGUUGAAACUCAAAUGAAUUGACGGGG
Molecule: ribosomal RNA, 397 nt
Filed under: uncultured bacterium
Lineage: Bacteria
Description: partial 16S ribosomal RNA
Rfam family: Bacterial small subunit ribosomal RNA
Source: RNAcentral